Molecule: long non-coding RNA, 396 nt
Organism: Megalops cyprinoides (Indo-Pacific tarpon)
Lineage: Eukaryota; Metazoa; Chordata; Actinopteri; Elopiformes; Megalopidae
Exons: 3
Source: RefSeq, a predicted model, not a curated record
UAUGUCAUCAGGACCGGAUCCUAGUUCCUGAGAAAAUACAAAAAUACGUUAGAUCAAUGUAUAGGCUAUAGGCUACAUAUUUAAAGACCAAUGGAAAAGAAUUGCAUGUAGGCUGUUUGCCAUUUGUGCUCGCAUUUCUUUACCCUUCUUACUCGGAAUCGCUUGAACUGAAAUAAACCGGCGUUUCACCACCUGUGGAGAAAAGGAGAUACACAACCAUUUAGUGACAGAUCGAGCGCCAGGCACGUUACGUGAGCACAUUCCCGUUCAAGAGGAUAUCACUGCAAACUAUGAGCCAGCUCUUUAUGUGGGCCUCACACUCACUGGCGCUGACGUUCUGCGAAGUGGCCACACCUGAACAGGAGGGUCUCAUCAUAUUUCUUCAGCACCCUGACA